GCCCGAAUAGCUCAGCUGGUUAGAGCACUAGACUGUUAAUCUGGGGGUCGUAGGUUCGAGUCCUACUUCGGGCGCCA
RNAcentral lists this transfer RNA (77 nucleotides) under Rhodanobacteraceae bacterium. RNAcentral describes it as "tRNA-Asn". It matches the Rfam family "tRNA". Rfam says of the family: Transfer RNA (tRNA) molecules are approximately 80 nucleotides in length. The record is from RNAcentral. RNAcentral also lists the same sequence under 1 other name. Lineage: Bacteria; Pseudomonadati; Pseudomonadota; Gammaproteobacteria; Lysobacterales; Rhodanobacteraceae.